AGUGAACGCUGGCGGUAGGCCUAGCACAUGCAAGUCGAACGGCAGCACAGUAAGAGCUUGCUCUUACGGGUGGCGAGUGGCGGACGGGUGAGGAAUACAUCGGAAUCUACUUUUUCGUGGGGGAUAACGUAGGGAAACUUACGCUAAUACCGCAUACGACCUACGGGUGAAAGCAGGGGAUCUUCGGACCUUGCGCGAUUGAAUGAGCCGAUGUCGGAUUAGCUAGUUGGCGGGGUAAAGGCCCACCAAGGCGACGAUCCGUAGCUGGUCUGAGAGGAUGAUAGGCGGCCCUGGAACUGGAACACGGUCCAGACUCCUAAGGGAGGCAGCAGUGGGGAAUAUUGGACAAUGGGCGCAAGCCUGAUCCAGCCAUCCCGCGUGGGUGAAGAAGGCCUUCGGGUUGUAAAGCCCUUUUGUUGGGAAAGAAAAGCAGCAGGUUAAUACCCCGCUGUUCUGACGGUACCCAAAGAAUAAGCACCGGCUAACUUCGUG
Molecule: ribosomal RNA, 492 nt
Filed under: uncultured bacterium
Lineage: Bacteria
Description: partial 16S ribosomal RNA
Rfam family: Bacterial small subunit ribosomal RNA
Source: RNAcentral